This is a long non-coding RNA of Passer domesticus (house sparrow), 446 nucleotides long. RefSeq lists it as uncharacterized. The transcript has 3 exons. Lineage: Eukaryota; Metazoa; Chordata; Aves; Passeriformes; Passeridae. The record is from RefSeq and is a predicted model, not a curated record.
CUCCAGGUCAUGAGUCCAAUACAUUCCUCAACACUGCCUCUCCAGGCAGCACCAUUUCUACAUAUCUCCAUCUGUUUUGAAAAUACAACUGGAUUUUAAGUGUAUAUGCAGUGCCAAUGAAGAGGAAGGAAAAUCACCUUGAUAGGACAUAGAAAAUGAAGGCCCUGCUCACUCAGGCUCACAACAGCUUUAAAACUCACUAGACAUUUCUGUCAGCAUUUUGGAGGUCUCACAUGAAGGGUACAGUCUAAGAAGAGGCUGCCCUUGACACUGAAGUUGCACGCGAAACAUAAUUGCAAGUCUCCGGUGGGGCUUUUUGCUUUUUUUUAUAAUAUUUAAAGUCAACUUUUACCAGUGAUAGGCAACAUGAAAGAGAGGGAGAGUAAGCUGGUAAACAGUUCACUCUGAGAAAAGCACAAACAUUUUGGUAACUAUGAUGCUUUACA